This 403-nucleotide ribosomal RNA is filed under the name Klebsiella pneumoniae. RNAcentral's name for it is "bacterial SSU rRNA". It matches the Rfam family "Bacterial small subunit ribosomal RNA", at positions 575 to 977 of the family's 1533-position model. Lineage: Bacteria; Pseudomonadati; Pseudomonadota; Gammaproteobacteria; Enterobacterales; Enterobacteriaceae. The record is from RNAcentral. RNAcentral also lists the same sequence under 1 other name.
GCGGUCUGUCAAGUCGGAUGUGAAAUCCCCGGGCUCAACCUGGGAACUGCAUUCGAAACUGGCAGGCUAGAGUCUUGUAGAGGGGGGUAGAAUUCCAGGUGUAGCGGUGAAAUGCGUAGAGAUCUGGAGGAAUACCGGUGGCGAAGGCGGCCCCCUGGACAAAGACUGACGCUCAGGUGCGAAAGCGUGGGGAGCAAACAGGAUUAGAUACCCUGGUAGUCCACGCCGUAAACGAUGUCGAUUUGGAGGUUGUGCCCUUGAGGCGUGGCUUCCGGAGCUAACGCGUUAAAUCGACCGCCUGGGGAGUACGGCCGCAAGGUUAAAACUCAAAUGAAUUGACGGGGGCCCGCACAAGCGGUGGAGCAUGUGGUUUAAUUCGAUGCAACGCGAAGAACCUUACCUG